Molecule: ribosomal RNA, 519 nt
Filed under: uncultured Acidobacteriaceae bacterium
Lineage: Bacteria; Pseudomonadati; Acidobacteriota; Terriglobia; Terriglobales; Acidobacteriaceae
Description: bacterial SSU rRNA
Rfam family: Bacterial small subunit ribosomal RNA
Source: RNAcentral
GUGGGUGAUCUACCUUUUAGUGGGGAAUAACCAGGGGAAACUCUGGCUAAUACCGCAUAAGCCUGAGAAGGGAAAGCAGCAAUGCGCUGAAAGAGGAGCCCGCGGCCGAUUAGCUAGUUGGUGGGGUAAGAGCCCACCAAGGCAGAGAUCGGUAGCCGGCCUGAGAGGGCACACGGCCACACUGGCACUGAAACACGGGCCAGACUCCUACGGGAGGCAGCAGUGGGGAAUCUUGCACAAUGGGGGAAACCCUGAUGCAGCGACGCCGCGUGAGCGAUGAAGCCCUUCGGGGUGUAAAGCUCUUUCGUCAGGGACGAUAAUGACGGUACCUGGAGAAGCAGCUGCGGCUAACUACGUGCCAGCAGCCGCGGUAAUACGUAGGCAGCAAGCGUUGUUCGGAGUUACUGGGCGUAAAGGGUGUGUAGGCGGUUCUUUAAGUUUGGUGUGAAAUCUCCCGGCUCAACUGGGAGGGUGCGCCGAAUACUGAGGGACUAGAGUACGGGAGAGGAAAGUGGAAUU